ACCAUUUCUAGUGGUUAGAGUAGUAAUAUUUAUAAUAACAAACGAUUGUUACAAUAUUAGUAUGUGUCCAACACCACAGUACACGAUUUAUAGACUAUUUUAUUCCUAACACAACCUCAAGGUUUGUGCACAUUUAUUUUCUUCACUUUCCAAAUAAGUAUCUUUUUAAUGAGUUUCAAGACUAAUGUGGCUGGGCACGGUGGCUCACGCCUGUAAUCACAGCACUUUGGGAGCUCGAAGCGGGGGGAUCAUGAGGUCAGGAAAUCGAGACCAUCCUGGCUAACACGGCGAAACCCCGUCUCUACUAAAAAUACAAAAAAUUAGCCGGGCAUGGUGGAGGGCGCCUGUAGUCCCAGCUACUUGGGAGGCUGAGGCAGGAAAAUGGCGUGAACCCGGGAGGUGGAGCUUGCAGUGAAUCGAGAUCGUGCCACUGCACUCCAGCCUGGGCAACAGAGCAAGACUCUGUCUCAAAAAAAAAAAAAAAAAAAGGAAAGAAAAAUACUAAUGUAUGCAAUUAGUAACUGUUUGAGCCAUGAUUCCACAUCAGGCAGUCCUAUUUUAAAGCCUAUGCUCUUCACUAUUAGAUAAUCAAAAUAUGAACACUUUUAUGAAGAGUGAAUAUGUUUGCUUUUCCACUUGAAUGAGAGAUUAUUGAAGGCACUCUCUAUUAUUAAUUUUGGUUCUUGAGCACAUGGCCUGGUCUAUAUUAGAUAGAUUUAGAAUAAAUUAAUGAGGAAAUGAAUGAUUAUGUAAAUUUAAAAAGGUUAAGUGAUUGCUAAAGUUCACCUAGAGAAUAGCAAUCAUGUCAGGCCUUCUUAACUUUAGUUUCCUAUUUUCUGUGACAGGCUGUUCUAAUAUCUGUAACCAGACUCCUUGUUUCAGGACAGUAGGCAUAUGCCUAUGCUGUUCCUUGCCAGAAGCAGAAUGGCACCAAGACUAAUUACACUGAUUUGAGCCUCCUGAGAAAAGGCCCUGUGAGGACAUAGCAAGAAGGCAACUAUCAGCAAGCCAGGAAGAAGGCCCUCACCAGAACUCAAUUCUGCUAGCACCCUGAUUUUGGACUUACAGUCUCAAGAACCAAGAGAAAUAAAAUUCUGUUGUUUAAACCA
Molecule: long non-coding RNA, 1109 nt
Organism: Pan troglodytes (chimpanzee)
Lineage: Eukaryota; Metazoa; Chordata; Mammalia; Primates; Hominidae
Exons: 2
Source: RefSeq, a predicted model, not a curated record